UCAUAUAUUGUUUUAAAACAUUCCAAGUCUAAGAUACAGCAUUGGCAUUAUUAUUAUUGCAAAGAUCAUUCCACCAAAAGAGAGCAAAACCAAUAAACUCACUAGUAGCAAGCCUAACUCUAUACUCAGCAAGAACUAAAUGAGAAUUAAAUUUUUGUUCAACAGCAAGUUCCAAUCUAAAUAAGCCUCAGGAUCAGCAUUACCAGCAAAAGGAAUCAUGGUAAAUUUAGUUUUAGCAAAAUGAUCAUUAUUACUAUGGUGAUGAUUAUUACCUCCCAUACCACGACGAUUACGCCGAAGACGGUCCAUGUCACGUGCAUCAUCAUUAAGAUCAGCGUCAUCAUCAUCCUCCAGACCAUCAACAUGAGAGGUGGGUCGGCGUGGUGGCACUGGGGGAGGUCAUUGCUCAACAUGUUCAAUCCGG
Molecule: long non-coding RNA, 424 nt
Filed under: Setaria viridis
Lineage: Eukaryota; Viridiplantae; Streptophyta; Magnoliopsida; Poales; Poaceae
Description: long non-coding RNA (SVIR_LNC008151)
Source: RNAcentral